UCCGGAUAAGAACCCAGACUAAAAAUGCCAGAUCGAAACAAAGUAAUGCAAAACUUGCUCCCUGAUGUCAGCGGCGGACGGCUUUAUAACACGUGGGUAACCUGCCUGUAAGACUGGGAUAACUCCGGGAAACCGGGGCUAAUACCGGAUGCUUGAUUGAACCGCAUGGUUCAAUUAUAAAAGGUGGCUUUUGCCACCACUUUAAAGUGGGCCCGGCGCGCCUUAACUAAUUGGUGAAGUUACCGGCUCCCCAAGGCACGAUGCCUAACCCACCUUAAAAGGUGGUCCGCCCCACUGGGAAUGAAACCCCGCCCAAACUCCUUAGGGAAGCAACCAUAAGGAAUCCUUCGCAAUGGAACAAAGGCUGAAGGAACCACCACGCCUGAGUUGUGAAAGAUUUCCGAAAG
This 407-nucleotide ribosomal RNA is filed under the name Geobacillus stearothermophilus. RNAcentral's name for it is "bacterial SSU rRNA". It matches the Rfam family "Bacterial small subunit ribosomal RNA", at positions 72 to 429 of the family's 1533-position model. The record is from RNAcentral. Lineage: Bacteria; Bacillati; Bacillota; Bacilli; Caryophanales; Anoxybacillaceae.